RNAcentral lists this transfer RNA (63 nucleotides) under Lepidothrix coronata (blue-crowned manakin). It matches the Rfam family "tRNA", at positions 6 to 65 of the family's 71-position model. From Rfam's summary of the family: Transfer RNA (tRNA) molecules are approximately 80 nucleotides in length. RNAcentral also lists the same sequence under 1 other name. The record is from Rfam by way of RNAcentral. Lineage: Eukaryota; Metazoa; Chordata; Aves; Passeriformes; Pipridae.
AUUAGCUCAGUGGGUUAGAGCAUGGUGCUGAUAACACUAGGGUCAUGGGUUCAAACCCCAUAU